GGCGAGAACCUGAGCCUCGCUUUCCCAAAGAGAAAGAUGAAUCCGCAGAGUAGCUCUUGCCACAGCAGAAGGGACAUGUGUUCUGGGAACUGCAGAGGCAAAAUGUGUCAUGGGAAAAUCUCAACGGAUUCAGCCCAGGACGAGAAUAUGCAAAUUGAUGCAAAAUUAAAUGCAACUGAACAAGAUAACACAUAUCCCAGCAAUGAAGAAAACUCACAGCAUACUUGCAAAAAAGAUGGAGUUUAAAUCCAAGGGGGAUAUGAAGAUGUCUAAGCAGUCCCCAGUGACUGUAUUUUGGCAGGAAUAUGAAGGUUUUCCUAAAAGGAGUCAAGAAAGUGCUGCAGAAAUGAAGUAACUGAAGUGCAAGGGUCAGUUACAGAACUACAUAGAAGACGUGUAACCCAGCCCUCCUGCGUAACAAACCAGGGCCCAACACAAAACCUUCUGCAGGGCCACGCUGGCCCAUCACCUGCCUUCCCAACCCUAACCUUUCCAUGACUCCGUGAUUCACAGUGGCGGCGCUAGCUGCGCUGUCGGCAACAAGAGAACAUUUUGGGAGCUAGAAACUACUGACGCCAUCCCUGUGCCACUGGGGUGAGGAACCCACAGCACUGCACUGGUUCCACAACAGCACAGGCUGCCCCGCUCCACCACUGGAAGCAAACAGCUAUCCAGACUGAAGGUUAAGAAGACUGAAUGUGGUGGCUUUGUUCCAAAACCAGCUCCAUUUCCCUACCUGGAAGUGGGACAACAGUGAAAUCAGAAAUUACAGCCUUAUUUAAUAUCUGCAGAUUUGGCUCUACUGUCAUUGCCCCCAGUCACAGUAUUAUCAGGUAGCAGCAUUCAUCUCAGGUGCUCAGCAUCCCUUCCAUACCCCGGAGAGACCAUGCCCUUAUUAAAGGUCUUGUUUAUAGACAGGGAAACCGAGGCAAAGAGCCAUGAUUCAAGUCCACAGAAAUCAGUGGCAGACCAUCCAGAGCCCCCGACUAGACCCAUCAGACCUAGUAACUUUUCCAGCUAUUAUAAAAGGGAAGAGGGCAGGAGUGCUCUUAGGGGCUAACUGGAAGCAGAUGAAUCCCUAGAAAUCUUCCUGUCCACUCAGUGGGCUUCAUAUGAGGAUCUGAAAUACUCAGCAGCCAAAUUACUUAAGUUGUAUUGCUGGGAGGAGGGAACAAGGCAUGAAACUUGGGAAGCUCAGUCGCAAAAAAUCCUCUUGGAAGUCAAGCUGUAAAGCUUUAUAUGCACCUGAAGCAAAAACUCCCUCUUUCCCUGGCUGCUUCUGCCUGUGAAAAGAAAACAGGCAGGGCAGGUGAUUUGUGAAUGCUUUCUUGCUAGAUUUGAAAUCUCUGUCCUUAAUUGAAGCGGGGAAUGCAAUUGCACUGGUCAUUAAUAAUUACUGAUAAACCAAAGUAGUGAUGGAGCCAAAUAAAACCUCCUGCCACUAGGAUCAGAUUCUGCAAAAGAGACAGACCUGGCAGCUCCAGCCUGUCUGCAUUUCCUGUUUUUCGGUUGCUCCUAUGUUGGAAUCGCUGGGUUUCCAAACCGUGCGUGUACUCACAGUACAUGAUGUCUGUAUGUGCAGAUCAAGAGACAUGAACUUCAUCUACACAGACGGCAAAAAGCAGCUUGCAGUUACUUUAACAUGUGACCGGUCCCAAUUAUGGCUUCUUCCACAUGGCAUCAGUAUGCGAUGGAGGAUCUCACUCUUCUUUUGCCAGAGGCAAAUGAAUACAUUACCCAGCAGCGAGGCGUGGGGCAGUGGAUGCCUCACUCUGGGGUGAUUUGGAUUCCACACUCGCGUGGGGGUGUGAGCCAACCUCAGAAGUCAUUUUCACUGAUGCUGACACAUAAGGCUUCCCUCAGAGACCUGUCUAUCAAACUGCAACAUGCUAUGCAGAAAAAUUAAAUUACUCAUGCUACAAUAAA
RNAcentral lists this long non-coding RNA (1926 nucleotides) under Strigops habroptila (Kakapo). RNAcentral describes it as "lncRNA (ENSSHBG00005017802.1)". The record is from RNAcentral. Lineage: Eukaryota; Metazoa; Chordata; Aves; Psittaciformes; Psittacidae.